This 1246-nucleotide ribosomal RNA is filed under the name metagenome. Its description in RNAcentral is "bacterial LSU rRNA". It matches the Rfam family "Bacterial large subunit ribosomal RNA", at positions 1634 to 2872 of the family's 2925-position model. The record is from RNAcentral.
AUAUACGACCGUACCGCAAACCGACACUGGUGCGCGAGAUGAGUAUUCUAAGGCGCUUGAGAGAACUCAGGAGAAGGAACUCGGCAAAUUGACACCGUAACUUCGGAAGAAGGUGUGCCCUAUUAGUGUGUAGUGAACAACGAAGCAUGAAUGGGUUGCAAAAAAUCGGUGGCUGCGACUGUUUAUUAAAAACACAGCACUCUGCAAACACGAAAGUGGACGUAUAGGGUGUGACGCCUGCCCGGUGCUGGAAGAUUAAAUGAUGGGGUGCAAGCUCUUGAUUGAAGUCCCAGUAAACGGCGGCCGUAACAAUAACGGUCCUAAGGUAGCGAAAUUCCUUGUCGGGUAAGUUCCGACCUGCACGAAUGGCGUAACGAUGGCCACACUGUCUCCUCCUGAGACUCAGCGAAGUUGAAAUGUUUGUGAUGAUGCAAUCUCCCCGCGGAAAGACGGAAAGACCCCAUGAACCUUUACUGUAGCUUUGUAUUGGACUUUGAACAGAUCUGUGUAGGAUAGGUGGGAGGCUUUGAAGCAGGGUCGCUAGAUCUUGUGGAGCCAACGUUGAAAUACCACCCUGGUGUGUUUGAGGUUCUAACCUAGGUCCAUUAUCUGGAUCGGGGACAGUGCAUGGUAGGCAGUUUGACUGGGGCGGUCUCCUCCCAAAGCGUAACGGAGGAGUUCGAAGGUACGCUAGUUACGGUCGGACAUCGUGACGAUAGUGCAAUGGCAUAAGCGUGCUUAACUGCGAGACUGACAAGUCGAGCAGAUGCGAAAGCAGGACAUAGUGAUCCGGUGGUUCUGUAUGGAAGGGCCAUCGCUCAACGGAUAAAAGGUACUCUGGGGAUAACAGGCUGAUACCGCCCAAGAGUUCAUAUCGACGGCGGUGUUUGGCACCUCGAUGUCGGCUCAUCUCAUCCUGGGGCUGUAGCCGGUCCCAAGGGUAUGGCUGUUCGCCAUUUAAAGAGGUACGUGAGCUGGGUUUAAAACGUCGUGAGACAGUUUGGUCCCUAUCUUCCGUGGGCGCUGCAGAUUUGAGGAAGCCUGCUCCUAGUACGAGAGGACCGGAGUGGACACACCUCUGGUGUAUCGGUUGUCACGCCAGUGGCAUUGCCGAGUAGCUAAGUGUGGAAGAGAUAACCGCUGAAAGCAUCUAAGCGGGAAACUCGUUUCAAGAUGAGAUCUGCCGGGGCCUUGAGCCCCCUAAAGAGUCGUUCAAGACCAGGACGUUGAUAGGUCAGGUGUGGAA